GCAAUGAUGGAAGUAUUGCAUUCCACGUUUCAGAUGGAGAGCACAUGAUUGACACACAAUCGACACUGAGA
RNAcentral lists this small nucleolar RNA (71 nucleotides) under Euglena gracilis. Its description in RNAcentral is "Eg-m32 box C/D methylation-guide snoRNA". The record is from RNAcentral. Lineage: Eukaryota; Euglenozoa; Euglenophyceae; Euglenales; Euglenaceae.